This 357-nucleotide unclassified non-coding RNA is filed under the name soil metagenome. Its description in RNAcentral is "partial contains 5.8S ribosomal RNA, internal transcribed spacer 2, and large subunit ribosomal RNA". The stretch from base 1 to 120 matches the Rfam family "5.8S ribosomal RNA", at positions 35 to 154 of the family's 154-position model. The record is from RNAcentral.
GAUGAAGAACGUAGCGAAAUGCGAUAAGUAAUGUGAAUUGCAGAAUUCAGUGAAUCAUCGAAUCUUUGAACGCACAUUGCGCCCGCUGGUAUUCCGGCGGGCAUGCCUGUUCGAGCGUCAUUUCAACCCUCAAGCUCUCCGGAGUUUGGUGUUGGGGCGCCUGGGGCUUUUCGACCUCAGGGCCCUCAAGUCCAUCGGCGGGACCGCCAGGACACUGAGCGCAGUAGUAUUAUUUCGCUCGGUAGGAUCCUCCACGGCGGGUCGAUCUGGCCGCUAAACCCCCCAAUUCUCACCAAAGGUUGACCUCGGAUCAGGUAGGAAUACCCGCUGAACUUAAGCAUAUCAAUAAGCGGAGGA